AAUCAACGGACAGUUGGACCAGUGUGUCUCCUCACCAUUAUUGAAAGGUAAUUAGAUAGUUUCGUAUUGAGAUAAUUAAUAUUACUAAAUACAACUAAAUAAAUAAGUAGGUACUUUAGAGUAGAAUUAGUAUAGAGAGAGGAAAAGAAAAGAAAGAUAGAGAUAAAAAUAAUAUGUAAGAUUUAGAUUGAUUUGAAGGAGAGAGGUUGUUAACGGUUCUCAAAAAAAAGAAAAAAAAAUAUUGAGGUAAAUAGUUCAAUUAUUGAGAAAGAGAGAAAGAAAGAUAGAGAAAGAAUAAUAAUCAUUCGAAAAAGAGAAAAGAAGUGAAAAUAAAGAAGGGUCAAGAGACAUUAUAUGAGAGAAAGAUGAAGAAAGCGAGAAGUAAUUAUGCUAGGUUUACAUUGUUGCCUAUCUUAUAUUUAUAAGGUACAAUUGACACGUCAGUUUUUCAUAUAGAGUAGUUUUGCAGCUUAUAGUUUAAUAUUAGUAUUUAUAUUUUAAAAUAGAUAGGAAUAUGUUGAUCGUCCGCAUAUAAUUGAUUCAAAUGCUUUAUUGCUUUUAUGUUUCACGCUGGAGGAAAUACAUGGUUCAUUGUGUCAAUUUUCAUCGGAGGAGGUAGAUGGAUCAUUGUGCUACGUCUCACUGGAGUCAGUUCAGUCGCAUGUAGCAUUGCAGUCAAUUGGUCAAAAUGUCAUGGCGCUAUGGGAGUGAAAACAUAAGGUGUUCGAUUUUUGGGGAAGAAAAAUGCUUGUCGAAGAUUUAUGGUCAUCCAUCAAACAGUGGUCAAGUUUUCAGUGAUGAUAUUGGCGACAUAGAUCGCAACAUUUUCGACGUGGGAUCAACCGGUUUUUUCGGUGUCCAGAAAUUAUGGUUACAAUCGAUAAGGAGGAGAAAAAGAAAAUUCGGCUGAUAUGAAGAGCGGUCGUCAUUCUAGAAUUUUUGAGUUCGUAGGAUAGGUUCGGA
Long non-coding RNA from Planococcus citri (citrus mealybug), 963 nucleotides. RefSeq lists it as uncharacterized. Lineage: Eukaryota; Metazoa; Arthropoda; Insecta; Hemiptera; Pseudococcidae. The transcript has 3 exons. The record is from RefSeq and is a predicted model, not a curated record.